UUGAACGCUGGCGGCAGGCCUAACCCAUGCAAGUCGAGCGGAUGAAGGGAGCUUGCUCCUGGAUUCAGCGGCGGACGGGUGAGUAAUGCCUAGGAAUCUGCCUGGUUGUGGGGGAUAACGCCCGGAAACGGGCGCUAAUACCGCAUACGUCCUGAGGGAGAAAGUGGGGGAUCUUCGGACCUCACGCUAUCAGAUGAGCCUAGGUCGGAUUAGCUAGUUGGUGGGGUAAAGGCCUACCAAGGCGACGAUCCGUAACUGGUCUGAGAGGAUGAUCAGUCACACUGGAACUGAGACACGGUCCAGACUCCUAAGGGAGGCAGCAGUGGGGAAUAUUGGACAAUGGGCGAAAGCCUGAUCCAGCCAUGCCGCGUGUGUGAAGAAGGUCUUCGGAUUGUAAAGCACGUUAAGUUGGGAGGAAGGGCAGUAAGUUAAUAACUUGCUGUUUUGACGUUACCAACAGAAUAAGCACCGGCUAACUUCGUG
This 483-nucleotide ribosomal RNA is filed under the name uncultured bacterium. RNAcentral describes it as "partial 16S ribosomal RNA". It matches the Rfam family "Bacterial small subunit ribosomal RNA", at positions 30 to 507 of the family's 1533-position model. The record is from RNAcentral.